CCACACUCAAAAGAGUCCUCUUUACAUUUAUUUUCACACUAUUUAACAGAAUAGUGAAGACUACUAAUACUAUCAUCUGGACCGUCACUCCGUUCACCGACUAGUCCCGGUUACGUUCUCAUUUCCUGAAAAGAACAGUGAAAGAAAGAGUGAGCUCAACUAGCCCAGUAAGAAAUAUUAUGACUAAGAUAAUACAUAAUAAAUUAUCA
RNAcentral lists this long non-coding RNA (209 nucleotides) under Panax ginseng (ginseng). RNAcentral describes it as "long non-coding RNA (PGIN_LNC004909)". Lineage: Eukaryota; Viridiplantae; Streptophyta; Magnoliopsida; Apiales; Araliaceae. The record is from RNAcentral.